GAGUUGUAGAAGAGAAAUGUAAAACGAAGCAGCUUAGUUUGGAGUUUCUAAUUGGAAGUAUAGGAGUACGAGAAAGAGAAAGGGUACAUGAAAGAGAGAGAAUGUUUUUAGUAUUGAUAGUAUGGUUAGCACGAUUAAAAGGUUUACAGAGAGGAGGUGAUGGAAGGGGCUUAUGGAAUAUUUGAUAAUGUUCACUAGAAAAGGACGGGGUUGACGAAGGACAGGGAAGACGAAUUGAAGCCAUGGAGUGAGUUGGGACUCCUCUCACCUCUCAGAGAGGAUCG
RNAcentral lists this unclassified non-coding RNA (284 nucleotides) under Hevea brasiliensis (rubber tree). Lineage: Eukaryota; Viridiplantae; Streptophyta; Magnoliopsida; Malpighiales; Euphorbiaceae. The record is from RNAcentral.